CGCACUAAUCGGGGAGUUAGCGGUGCCCUGUACCUGCAAUCCGCUAUAGCAGGGGUGAAUUCCCGCACCCGGGCAAGUUUUGUAUAUCGUCUGACCUGCGUAAGUGGUGUUGAGAGAUCGGUCUUGCGCAACGAGAUCCCGUGAACCAUGUCAGGUGGGGAACCAAGCAGCAUUAAGCGGAUCUUCUCGUGUGCCGCGGGGUUGCCGUUCUUGAGCUAACUGCGCAGGUUACGGAUG
This 237-nucleotide signal recognition particle RNA is filed under the name uncultured Faecousia sp. RNAcentral describes it as "Bacterial large signal recognition particle RNA". It matches the Rfam family "Bacterial large signal recognition particle RNA", at positions 2 to 230 of the family's 256-position model. From Rfam's summary of the family: The signal recognition particle (SRP) is a universally conserved ribonucleoprotein involved in the co-translational targeting of proteins to membranes. Archaeal SRP consists of a 7S RNA and homologues of the eukaryotic SRP19 and SRP54 proteins. The record is from RNAcentral. Lineage: Bacteria; Bacillati; Bacillota; Clostridia; Eubacteriales; Oscillospiraceae.